Bubalus bubalis (water buffalo) is the source of this 616-nucleotide long non-coding RNA. RefSeq lists it as uncharacterized. The record is from RefSeq and is a predicted model, not a curated record. NCBI's taxonomy places the organism in Eukaryota, Metazoa, Chordata, Mammalia, Artiodactyla, Bovidae. The transcript has 3 exons.
UAGAACAGAUGGAAAUGAGUCUCUUGGGUAUCUCCAGCUGAUGUGGAUUUCACAGCGGGCGGAAGGAAGUGAGGGGGAGCAGAUAAGUCACCCCUUCCCACGGCCACUUGGGAGGCCACACUGGUUGUUCAGCUGUCCACCCUCACUCCUUGUGAAAGGCGUGGGGCUUGACACUGGGAGCUCCAUUCCAGUGGAGUUCUGAAGACCGAGAAUUCCAAGGUCAAAGUGCUAGCUGAUUGUGUCUGGCUGGCCCUGGCUUGGAGCUGGAGUUGAAAUGGAUGUGGAGCUCAUCAGUGGAAGCCUUGCAUCAGGGAUCUCAGAGCCUGUGAUGGAGAUACUGCUUGUGUCAAUGUGCAAAGAGACUGUGAUCAGCCCUCUAAGUGGGGCCCCACAGACAAGAACCUUCGGGCAAGAACACAGACUCACCGAAGCACCAUCAGAGAUGGCAAAGCGCUUUUAGAGCUUCCCUCGACAGUGGGCUAGUAUGACUUUCUCCCAGUGUCCUUACUCAGGGCUCCCUGUGGCUUUGAGCGGCCUCAGUAGCUGGUGUUUGCCAGGCAUGGAGUGGGGGGAGGCUCACUCUUGCUCUCCCAGUAUCCUGAGAUGCUCUGUUCCC